RNAcentral lists this ribosomal RNA (325 nucleotides) under uncultured eukaryote. RNAcentral describes it as "partial 18S ribosomal RNA". It matches the Rfam family "Eukaryotic small subunit ribosomal RNA", at positions 1470 to 1796 of the family's 1831-position model. The record is from RNAcentral.
CCCUUAGAUGUUCUGGGCUGCACGCGCGCUACACUGAAGCGUUCAACGAGUAUUCACCUUGCCCGGGAGGGUUGGGUAAUCUUUUGAAAACGCUUCGUGAUGGGGAUAGAUUAUUGCAAUUAUUAAUCUUCAACGAGGAAUUCCUAGUAAGCGCGAGUCAUCAGCUCGUGCUGAUUACGUCCCUGCCCUUUGUACACACCGCCCGUCGCUCCUACCGAUUGAGUGCUCAGGUGAAUAAUUCGGACUGCAGCAAUGUUCGGAUCCCGAACGUUGCAGCGGAAAGUUUAGUGAACCUUAUCACUUAGAGGAAGGAGAAGUCGUAACA